This 205-nucleotide long non-coding RNA is filed under the name Elaeis guineensis (African oil palm). RNAcentral's name for it is "long non-coding RNA (EGUI_LNC029683)". The record is from RNAcentral. Lineage: Eukaryota; Viridiplantae; Streptophyta; Magnoliopsida; Arecales; Arecaceae.
AAUUGGUAUACCUAUCGGGUACCCGAACCACUCGAGCCAAAGAAAAUCCUUUGAUCAAAAUUCUCCAAACCCUACAAAAUAUCAUGCUUCUUCUACCAAGUUUAAGCUCUCAAAACCUUAGGGGACCAACACCACAACUCCAACAAAAUCCCAUCCUGAAACCUAAGAAACCCUCCAAUCUCUCUCAUGUACUCUCCUUUCCCAC